GUUUCAUACGAUUUAUUCCAGAAUAGGGAUUCUGAGUGGAAUCUAGAAUCAAAAUUAGUCCAAGAUGUGUAGAGGCAUUCAGAGCUUUUUACAAGGGAUGGAAGCUAUAGAAGAUGACGUGAAUAUGUUAUUGAUGGAGAAAAAGGUUGGGUGUGUCCUUUCUGGCCACUAGGAUAAAAUAAUGAAGCUAAGGAGACAGAAAGAAGGACAAUGUAUCAUCGUGAAAAUGCCAUGUAGCAACAUUACAUAUUUACAGAAGAAUCCGUAGUAGUGUGGGAACUGGUGGUUGUUUCAAUCAUCUGGACUUGUAAGUAGAAAAUUUUUUAAAAAAUGUGCUUAUAAAAAUACAAACCCCAGAAAAUAACAGUGGCAAAGUAUUGUAUAUAUACAUAUUGCCCUUGUAGAGAAUUUGUAUGAUUUAAAAUAUGUCUUUAAGACAUCUUAGUUUUAUUUAUAAGUUUUGGUGUUUCCCUGUUUUAAAAUCAUAAUGUUGGCAUCUGUAAUAAAGUCUACUUAUGAGGCCCCUGUCACGCUAUUUUUUUGUCCAUUUAACAAAAUAAAAAUUAUUCAUAUUCUUUAUA
Lemur catta (Ring-tailed lemur) is the source of this 581-nucleotide long non-coding RNA. RefSeq lists it as uncharacterized. NCBI's taxonomy places the organism in Eukaryota, Metazoa, Chordata, Mammalia, Primates, Lemuridae. The transcript has 2 exons. The record is from RefSeq and is a predicted model, not a curated record.